AUUGAACGCUGGCGGCGUGCUUUACACAUGCAAGUCGAACGGCAGCACGGGGGCAACCCUGGUGGCGAGUGGCGAACGGGUGAGUAACACAUCGGAACGUGCCCAGUUGUGGGGGAUAACCUAUCGAAAGGUAGGCUAAUACCGCAUGAGCUCGGCAAGAGGAAAGCGGGGGACUCAGCGAUGGGCCUCGCGCGACUGGAGCGGCCGAUGUCCGAUUAGCUAGUUGGGGGGUAAAGGCUUACCAAGGCGACGAUCGGUAGCUGGUCUGAGAGGAUGAUCAGCCACACUGGGACUGAGACACGGCCCAGACUCCUACGGGAGGCAGCAGUGGGGAAUUUUGGACAAUGGGGGCAACCCUGAUCCAGCCAUGCCGCGUGAGUGAAGAAGGCCU
RNAcentral lists this ribosomal RNA (391 nucleotides) under uncultured bacterium. RNAcentral's name for it is "bacterial SSU rRNA". It matches the Rfam family "Bacterial small subunit ribosomal RNA", at positions 29 to 417 of the family's 1533-position model. The record is from RNAcentral.